RNAcentral lists this long non-coding RNA (1249 nucleotides) under Mytilus galloprovincialis (Mediterranean mussel). The record is from RNAcentral. Lineage: Eukaryota; Metazoa; Mollusca; Bivalvia; Mytilida; Mytilidae.
ACAAUCAAAAUAAGUUUUGAGCAGUUACCACAUAAUGAUACAAUUAAAAGUUUUACAUGUUUUUCAAGCACCUGCAAUGUUAUAUGCUAGUAUAUAACAAUAUAUGUAAAAUACAGAAAUCUGGAAUGCAAUAAAUUAGUCUAUGUAUUUACAUAGUUGGAUUAAUUAGUUAAAAUAACUUUUACACAGAUUAAUAUGACAUAACAGGUAUCGAGUAUAAUUUUCCUGUUGUCAGCACUAAGAAAUAUUUUUUGCAAUAUUAAGUCCAACCAUGUCAUAAAAUUUAAAGGGGAAAUAAUGCCCAAGAAUUUUUAAAAGGGUCCAAUGAAAUCUAAAUUACCUACAGCCAUAGUAUUGUUUCAAUUCAGAUUAUGUAUUCAAGAUGUUGAAACUGAUCAAUAUUGAAAUUUCACAGUGUUCAAUGCAAGCUCUGAUUAGACACAACAGUAUGGCUUUAUAUGUGAUUAAACUUUAGGGCCAGUAUUCGUAAGAAUCAGUCAAUUUAGAAAACUUCCAAAACAUGGCAAAAAAAACCAAGAUGACCUAACCAUUACCCUUGCACUGUCUUAUAAUUGGUAAAUCUUUCUGGGUGUUAGCUCGACCUUCUUGGUAAUUUCUAGUAUAUUUCAAACAAAUUAUAUCUUGAAAUACCAGAACAGGAAAAGGAAAGGUUUGUUUCUAUUUGUGUACCAUUAUACAUUUUGACCUUACGAGUGGAUUAUUGUUUACAUGCUUUCACAUCGACCUGAUUCUUAGGCAGAUUGGCUUAAAAUAAGAAACACAGAUAAUACAGAAUGCAAUAAUUAUUGAACCAAUAUGACUAAAACCUAGUUAAUAAUUCACUUUGGUUUUAGUCUAAUUCUAUUUUUUCCAGAUGCUGCACAUUUUGUACUUGUUCGAUAUAAAGGUAUAAUCAUGAUAAUUUCAUAUAAUUUUUUCAUUUGGUGCUUUAUAUAUUUUAGUAACAUGGCCGUUAACUAUUCUUUUAAUAAAUAGGUAUGCCAAUAUGAAAAGCAUUAAGCAUUAAUUUUAUAUUAUUGUGAGAUCAAUGGAAAAAACGAAUGUGAAUUAAGACAGUGUCCUGAGAAACUCAAUUACAAGUCCCAACAACAUUUAGGUUAAAAUGGAUGAUACAAAACUUAUCAUUACAAAUUGUUAUCAUUAUCACAGUUCAUCUAUUUUUCAAUUCAACAUUUGAAGAUACAUAUUAAAUGUGAGUCUUUUAUAUAUUUUAAAUAAAGUUUAAAAG